This 1355-nucleotide ribosomal RNA is filed under the name metagenome. Its description in RNAcentral is "bacterial SSU rRNA". It matches the Rfam family "Bacterial small subunit ribosomal RNA", at positions 8 to 1383 of the family's 1533-position model. The record is from RNAcentral.
AGAGUUUGAUCCUGGCUCAGGACGAACGCUGGCGGCACGCUUAACACAUGCAAGUCGAACGAGAGAAGAGGAGCUUGCUUUUCUGAUCUAGUGGCGGACGGGUGAGUAACACGUGAGCAAUCUGCCUUUCAGAGGGGGAUACCGAUUGGAAACGAUCGUUAAUACCGCAUAACAUAAUUGAACCGCAUGAUUUGAUUAUCAAAGAUUUAUCGCUGAAAGAUGAGCUCGCGUCUGAUUAGCUAGUUGGUAAGGUAACGGCUUACCAAGGCGACGAUCAGUAGCCGGACUGAGAGGUUGAUCGGCCACAUUGGGACUGAGACACGGCCCAGACUCCUACGGGAGGCAGCAGUGGGGAAUAUUGCACAAUGGAGGAAACUCUGAUGCAGCGAUGCCGCGUGAGGGAAGAAGGUUUUAGGAUUGUAAACCUCUGUCUUCAGGGACGAAAAAAGACGGUACCUGAGGAGGAAGCUCCGGCUAACUACGUGCCAGCAGCCGCGGUAAUACGUAGGGAGCGAGCGUUGUCCGGAAUUACUGGGUGUAAAGGGAGGGUAGGCGGGAUCGCAAGUCAGAUGUGAAAACUAUGGGCUUAACCCAUAAACUGCAUUUGAAACUGUGGUUCUUGAGUGAAGUAGAGGUAAGCGGAAUUCCUAGUGUAGCGGUGAAAUGCGUAGAUAUUAGGAGGAACAUCAGUGGCGAAGGCGGCUUACUGGGCUUUAACUGACGCUGAGGCUCGAAAGCGUGGGGAGCAGACAGGAUUAGAUACCCUGGUAGUCCACGCCGUAAACGAUGAUUACUAGGUGUGGGGGGACUGACCCCUUCCGUGCCGCAGCAAACGCAAUAAGUAAUCCACCUGGGGAGUACGACCGCGAGGUUGAAACUCAAAGGAAUUGACGGGGGCCCGCACAAGCAGUGGAGUAUGUGGAUUAAUUCGAAGCAACGCGAAGAACCUUACCAGGUCUUGACAUCGUAUGCAUAGCUCAGAGAUGAGUGAAAUCUCUUCGGAGACAUAUAGACAGGUGGUGCAUGGUUGUCGUCAGCUCGUGUCGUGAGAUGUUGGGUUAAGUCCCGCAACGAGCGCAACCCUUACUGUUAGUUGCUACGCAAGAGCACUCUAGCAGGACUGCCGUUGACAAAACGGAGGAAGGUGGGGAUGACGUCAAAUCAUCAUGCCCCUUAUGACCUGGGCCUCACACGUACUACAAUGGCUGUCAACAGAGGGAAGCAAAGCCGCGAGGUGGAGCGAACCCCUAAAAGCAGUCUUAGUUCGGAUUGUAGGCUGCAACCCGCCUACAUGAAGUCGGAAUUGCUAGUAAUCGCAGAUCAGCAUGCUGCGGUGAAUACGUUCCCGGGCCUUG